AGGAAGGAAAAGUCGUAACAAGGUCUCCGUAGGUGAACCUGCGCAAGGAUCAUUG
This 55-nucleotide ribosomal RNA is filed under the name Polylepis lanuginosa. RNAcentral's name for it is "partial 18S ribosomal RNA". It matches the Rfam family "Eukaryotic small subunit ribosomal RNA", at positions 1777 to 1831 of the family's 1831-position model. Lineage: Eukaryota; Viridiplantae; Streptophyta; Magnoliopsida; Rosales; Rosaceae. The record is from RNAcentral.